Long non-coding RNA from Mercenaria mercenaria, 2299 nucleotides. RefSeq lists it as uncharacterized. The transcript is spliced from 2 exons. Lineage: Eukaryota; Metazoa; Mollusca; Bivalvia; Venerida; Veneridae. The record is from RefSeq and is a predicted model, not a curated record.
UAUAAAAGGUACGUUUAGCACUUUUUAAGAUACAAAAUGUAUUGACAUAAUUAUAAGCGUUGCGGUAUAGCAUUUGUGAUGUUAAUUCCGUAUCAGACAAGUAUUGUCGCUUUAAAUGCCACAACCUUUCUAUUUCACACAGUUUAGAGUGAAUGUCAUAAAGCAUCAUUUCAAAUAUCAAAUAUGUAAAUGUCAAAUAUUUUUUUUUGGAAAUGCGACGUAAACCUCAGUUAAUCAGUUGCAAACCUCAGAACUACAAGUAAUGUUUUCGUGGGAACGAUGUUACACAAACACUUAGGUAUUGAAAACUCAGAUGAAAUGCAAGAGACAUUAUCUUUCCUAAUACACUAUUACCCUCUUCAGAGCUACUAGCGGUGCCAAAAAAAUCUAUAGGGGAUCUUUUGGAAGCAUUAAACGCAGACAUAUUUUGAUUGCGGUUGCGAAAUUUGGAAAUGUUAUAGGCAGACAUAUUUUGAUUGAGACUGCGAAACCUGCAACACCCCUGGAGCCCCUUCCCCCACCCACACACGUAUUGGCACUCUCAGUGAAUUCUAUUACAAAAUGUGUUACAUCUCUUCGAAGAUCCUUCAUGAUAUGACAAAAUAGGAAGAAGCUACCAACCAGGUGUUUCUGAUGAGGUUUCCAACUGUUGAUAAUUUAACAUGUAUAGUAAACAAAUUGCAAGAUGGAAAUAAUAAUUAUAGUUUACAUUAUAUAAAGCAGAUAAGAUAAAGUAAUAUAUUUUACAGAAAAUUAUCAACACACAGAGGACAUAGCUACAUUAUGCGGACAAAUAUUACGAUUUGCGGCAGUUCAUUUUAAGUAAGAGUUGACUAUUGACUAAUGACCUAUACUGACAUGAAGCGUUAGCGAGAUCUACAUGUACAUCUCAUUUUUGAAAGCUUGAUCUGGUACGUUGCCACGACUUGUAAAGCCUUGAAAAGUUAACAGGAAAAUUACUAUUGGAAUUGUGAAAAUAAUUCGGAUAUUUUGAAAGUAUGAUAGCGCCUGUGGAGUAUUACAAGAACAAUACUUUAUAGCGAUAAUUUAUAUUACUAAGCACUUUCAGUGAAAUGUCUCAGCGUUUAAGAUGUAUCCAAGAAAGAGGUUAAGAGCGAACACGAGGGUUAGCAAUGAUUCUACUGUUGCACAAACUAGAAGUAAAAUCCAAAUACUCGUCUAUUGCAUGCCUUGUUAAAAACUAGAAACACUGUAAUUCGUUUAAACAAAUUUUGUGUGUUUCAUUGACUGAUUCUUUUAUAAAUAGAUACCAUUCAAAAUAGCUGUUCAUCGUAGAAAUCCCCGAAGGUUUCCAAGUUCACAUCUCCAAACUGUUUGCCUAAGUUCCAAUAGCUUUCUACUGUGUGAAGCAGGGAAUAUCUUUGAAAAAUGACAAAUUUGUCGGAUUUGAAUUUCAGUUACGAUUAUAAUAAAAGCUAUUUUCAUGACAGUUACUACGACGACUAUUACAUUUCCGAAUUAUCAUUCACUAUUAUAGAAAUUGUGCUUUCCCUAAGUGGACUAAUAUUAAACAUUUCCUUAAUUUUUGUAUUAAUUUUGCUGGAAGGAUCCUUGAAAACACAUCUAAAAUUUGUCAUGAGUCUUGCAAUAUCAGAUUUUGUUAUAGCUUUGUUUCAGUUUGCAUCGAUAUUUUACGAUAUUCCAAUGGUUGUGAAGACCUAUAGUGUUCAAAGCAGCCCAUCUUUUAUACGCGUGGCUUUUGUUCUUUUAUAUGUUUUGGCUCAGUAUGCUGGACUCGGAACAAUGUUGGCUAUUUCAGUAGAUAUACUAAUAAAGAUAUGGAAGCCUUUACGAUACAAAAUUCUAAUGUCAAAAGGGCGUGGAAACAUCAUAAUAAUAUGUCUGUGGUUUGUACCACCUGCGGCUUUCAUAUGUAUAUCAUUCUGUCUUCAGGUUUUCAUUCUUGACCAUUCGGUAGACCUAGCAGUUCCCUUAGCAGCACUAUAUUUAGCAAGCGGUUUGUUUUUCGCUCUUUGUGUUUUAUUUUUUGUAGUUUUUGUUAUUCUGUAUAUAUAGUAAUAAUUUGCUCAGUCAGAAACUUCACAAACAGAUGUAUAUCCAGACGGAGAACAAGCAUUAAGAAAGCAGCUGUCACAUUUACUUUCGUACUUUUAACAUAUUUUAUAUGUUUACUGCCUAUGUUAUGGCUGCUUGUACCAAUUCUAGUGUCUAUGGGUUCUCAUACGCAUUCACUUGAAAGGUUAGUGACUUCUUUAUAUAUUGUAAAUACUAUAUGUGAUCCUAUCAUAUACACACUUAGAAUACCCGAUAUAAGAGA